RNAcentral lists this ribosomal RNA (253 nucleotides) under uncultured bacterium. RNAcentral's name for it is "partial 16S ribosomal RNA". It matches the Rfam family "Bacterial small subunit ribosomal RNA", at positions 524 to 776 of the family's 1533-position model. The record is from RNAcentral.
UACGGAGGGUGCAAGCGUUAUCCGGAUUUAUUGGGUUUAAAGGGUCCGUAGGCGGACGUUUAAGUCAGCGGUGAAAGCCCAUAGCUUAACUAUGGAAUUGCCGUUGAUACUGAUCGUCUUGAGUACAUGUGAGGUUGGCGGAAUGUGUGGUGUAGCGGUGAAAUGCUUAGAUAUCACACAGAACACCGAUUGCGAAGGCAGCUGGCCAACAUGUAACUGACGCUGAGGGACGAAAGUGUGGGGAUCAAACAGG